UUUAGGCAAGUGCUGGGAUUAAUUCCUAGAGGAAAGUCCAUGCUCACACAUUCUGAGAUGAAUGUAGUGUUUGUGCUUAGGGAAAAAAUAACCUAAGGUAGUGCUUUUGGCACUAACGGCUUAGUCUUUACCUAAGGAUUUUCUAUGGUAAAGGCUUGUAAAGUGCCACAGAGACGAGUGUCUGGGAAACUAGACUAUGUGAAACGCGGUAAACCCCACAAGUGAGAAACCCAAAUUAUGGUAGGGGAGCUUUAAAAGAAGAAAUGAAUUCUUUUAAGGACUAGAAAUAGUAGAUAAAUACUUGCCACCUAGAAAUAGGUACAGAACAUGGCUUAUU
This 337-nucleotide RNase P RNA is filed under the name chicken gut metagenome. RNAcentral describes it as "Bacterial RNase P class B". It matches the Rfam family "Bacterial RNase P class B". From Rfam's summary of the family: Ribonuclease P (RNase P) is a ubiquitous endoribonuclease, found in archaea, bacteria and eukarya as well as chloroplasts and mitochondria. Its best characterised activity is the generation of mature 5'-ends of tRNAs by cleaving the 5'-leader elements of precursor-tRNAs. Cellular RNase Ps are ribonucleoproteins. The record is from RNAcentral.